This 253-nucleotide ribosomal RNA is filed under the name uncultured bacterium. Its description in RNAcentral is "partial 16S ribosomal RNA". It matches the Rfam family "Bacterial small subunit ribosomal RNA", at positions 524 to 776 of the family's 1533-position model. The record is from RNAcentral.
CACGUAGGGUGCGAGCGUUGUCCGGAAUUAUUGGGCGUAAAGAGCUCGUAGGCGGUCUGUCACGUCUGCCGUGAAAACCCGAGGCUCAACCCCGGGCCUGCAGCCGAUACGGGCAGACUAGAGUUCGGCAGGGGAGACUGGAAUUCCUGGUGUAGCGGUGAAAUGCGCAGAUAUCAGGAGGAACACCGGUGGCGAAGGCGGGUCUCUGGGCCGAUACUGACGCUGAGGAGCGAAAGCGUGGGGAGCGAACAGG